Molecule: long non-coding RNA, 291 nt
Filed under: Ananas comosus (pineapple)
Lineage: Eukaryota; Viridiplantae; Streptophyta; Magnoliopsida; Poales; Bromeliaceae
Description: long non-coding RNA (ACOM_LNC019556)
Source: RNAcentral
UCAGAACGUCGAGACGUCGUCGGAGGCGGCGAGAUCACCUCCGACGACGUUGCGGUGGUUGCGAUAGAAAGCAAGAGAGGGAGAGGUGGUGACAAAAAAAAAAAAGAAAAAAAUAAGAAUAAUAAAAAUAAAAAUAAAAUUUUUUUUUCCUACAGAAAAGAUUAAAAAAUAUAGUGGAAGGAAGAAGAUGAUGAGAAUUGCACUCUUAGAAUAAAAUUACACUAUUUUAAAAAAAUUUGCACUGUUUUAAUGAAAAUUGCACUAUUUGAUAUAAAAAUUACACUCUUUUGA